GUGACGCUUCGGCAGCACAUAUACAAAAAUUGGAAUGAUACAAGAUUAGCAUGCCCCCUGCUUAAGGCUGACACACAAAUUCAGUGAAGCAUUCUUUUUUUUU
Molecule: small nuclear RNA, 103 nt
Filed under: Pan troglodytes (chimpanzee)
Lineage: Eukaryota; Metazoa; Chordata; Mammalia; Primates; Hominidae
Source: RNAcentral